GUCACUGCUACGUGAAAAAUCAUGUAGAUCAUUCCAAAUUCAUUUUGCCUAGACUUCACCUGACUAAGGUAAUGAUUACCAAAACCUAUAUAAACACCAAAUGAAGACUUGGUCAUUUUCACUGUAGUUAACCUAUCGCACUUACGUGAAAUUCACGUAGCCACUUAAAUUCAUUUUGACACUUGCAUAUCGCAUUCAUUCUGUGUUUAGCUCAAAUUUCAAGAUGGAGCCUGUUGAUGUUCCAAGAACUUUGAGAGCGGACAGUAUUGAAAACGUAUUUUAUUUCGAUUUCAAGGAAACGAACAGCAGGAUCGAUUCAACUAGUAAACAUUAGUACCGAAAGAUUUACGGAUGGGACUGGCCUUGGACGGACUUUUAUUAGUUGAACGGAGAUAGUGCGUUUGUAAAUAGUUGAUAUUUAAUUAGAGUAUUUCGUAAUAUUCAACUGAAUUAGUGUUCAGAACUGGAUUAUGUAUCCGGUUUCACCACAAACGAAGUCGGCGGUUUCAUUAUUGAGCAGUGACACCCAGCAAUACAAUGCAGCAAACUAGCAGGAUAUUAGUUUACCUAUAAACUGUUGAUGACUAUUAUGAUGCAAAUAUUUGAUUCAAAAUGUGCCUGUAUCACCUGUAUUCAAUAAAUAAUUACGUCUAUAUAAAUCGUUCAACAUAUUCGAAUUGAAAAAAUACUUGAAAAAUAGAGUGGCUUCUAUAAACAUACUUCAAUAAUUUUCAAUGAAAUAACAUUUAGGAUCGAUUGAAGCGCUUCGUAAAAGCUACGUGAAAAUCCAUGUAGCUGUUACGUGAAACUCCGAUGGAACGGAUUGAGUUCGAGAGUUCAUGCGUUCAUUUUGUGUUACUUAUGAUCCACGUAAGUGCUACGUGAAAAGUAG
This is a long non-coding RNA of Aedes aegypti (yellow fever mosquito), 892 nucleotides long. RefSeq lists it as uncharacterized. The record is from RefSeq and is a predicted model, not a curated record. Lineage: Eukaryota; Metazoa; Arthropoda; Insecta; Diptera; Culicidae. The transcript is spliced from 2 exons.